Molecule: ribosomal RNA, 255 nt
Filed under: uncultured bacterium
Lineage: Bacteria
Description: partial 16S ribosomal RNA
Rfam family: Bacterial small subunit ribosomal RNA
Source: RNAcentral
CACGUAGGGGCCAAGCGUUGUCCGGAUUUAUUGGGCGUAAAGAGCUCGUAGGCGGCUCGGUAAGUCGGGUGUGAAACCUCCAGGCUCAACCUGGAGACGCCACCUGAUACUGCUGUGGCUAGAGUCCGGUAGGGGAGCGUGGAAUUCCUGGUGUAGCGGUGAAAUGACGCAGAUAUCAGGAGGAACACCAGCGGCGAAGGCGGCAUCCUGGACCAACACUGACGCUGAGGAGCGAAAGCCAGGGGAGCAAACGGG